AAAUGGGUUGGGUGUGCUUGGAAAGGCAGCGCUGGUUUUUUUUUUCCCUUGAGACUUGGCCACACUACAAUCGGACCAGGCUGGAAAGGAGUGUCCUGCUGUGAGUUCCCUGUUUGUGCAGCAGCACUAUUUGCAUUCACGCCGGGCUGCAUGUGUUUAAUUAAUUACUUGGUAGACAGGCACUCACGGUAGCUGGGUUCUAGUCCCAGUUCACCCAAGGUCACCCUGCAGGCCAGUAGUUAAUUCCUACCAUGCUCUGUGCCUCAGUUUCCCCCUCUCUAGAAUGAUAACAACCCUGCUCUAAUACUCCGUGUCAUUAUUUCUGAAGGCAGCUUUGCCCCUAACCUUUCAGCUUGCAGGAGUAGGUUGAGGAGGUGAGUAGUAGGAUGAAUCUCACUCUUUCCUUACACUAUAAGUUGGUGCAAAGGGAGGGCUAAGCCAGGAAGGAUAGCCCCCUCAUGUGCUGCUUCUGCAGCAGGAGGCUGGGGUGCAAAUCCUCCCCAUGCUCCCCUUAAUGCAUUGUAUGAGUCAGUUUAUUUUGGUGAUUAUCCUGGCGGAUCCCUGCCUCACACCUACCCCUCUCAGUCCUCCAGCCCAGGUGGGCAGAGGAGGCAUGUAGUAUUAUGAUCUGAAACUGACUCUAGGGGGCACCCAUGGGUGCAGCAUGGAGUAAAAUAGGUUAGUGGCAGGAGGGGAAGCAGCAAAUCAUAGUUUGUAAACCGUAAGGCUAACUCAGCUUGGUAAGCAGCACACACUUCGGAGAGCCCCCCCUCCUGUUAUCAUCGGGGAGUUUCCCACUUCUACCCUUCUGCAGGGCCCCUAGAGGACACAAUGCUGCCUUCCACCAAUGGAAGAGGAUUUGGGGACUUAGGGUACUGCAGGCCCCUCUGCACCAGCACUUGUCCAGCUGCAGAGCAGAAGAGCUGAAACCAGGAGAGGAGCUUGGAGCCAUGUCCCACCCACCCAGGAAGCUGUAUUCCUCUCCUAUGCUGAACUUAAGCCCACUGUGCUGGGCAGUGGCAUGAAGGGAGCAUGUCCUAGCCCUGCAGGCUUCUGUCAUCAUGUACAGCCCACCUGAAGGCCUGUAUGCUGAAGAGGAGGAGAGACACCUACACAAGUCGAGAAGGAAAAGCAGGGGGCUAGAUGUCUUCACUCAUUCUAUGACCUCUCACUCCAGGUACACAGAUGAACCUACCAUAACCACAGGGGAAGAGGACUUGGGACCAACAUCCCAAUUGCCAGCCCUCUGCAGGAGCAGCCAGCCAGAGAGACAGUCCCAAGCCAGGGACCAGUUCAGGCCCAGCAGGGCAGGUCCACAUACCAACCCAGCCAGUCUCCACUACGCUCCAUAGUAAAUCAGCUGGCAGUGACAUGUGCACAGGGCUGGGGCUUUCAGGUUUUUUUUUAAUUUAGUUUUCUUGGAAAAAAAAAAAAAACAGUAAGGCAAAAAACCCAAAACUAGAAGUGGAGGGAUUUUUUCUUUUUUUAAAUUUAAAUCUACCAGUGUCCCUCUCAUGGAAAUAGAGGGCCCAUGCCCCCUCUGUGCCUUCUCCUGUCCCAACGAGCAGGGAGCGGCUAGCACUGGGCUUGGCCUCAUCUCACCGAGCUGGCGAGAGGGGACCCGCCCCGUCCAGCCAGCAGUCUAGGCACAGGCAGCACAAGCACUGCCUCUUCACCCUGUUGGCAGAGAAGGUGGAGGGGGGGGAAGGAACCCAGAAUGAAACA
Non-coding RNA from Chelonoidis abingdonii (Abingdon island giant tortoise), 1725 nucleotides. The record is from RefSeq and is a predicted model, not a curated record. NCBI's taxonomy places the organism in Eukaryota, Metazoa, Chordata, Testudines, Testudinidae.